This is a long non-coding RNA of Chiroxiphia lanceolata (lance-tailed manakin), 1228 nucleotides long. RefSeq lists it as uncharacterized. The record is from RefSeq and is a predicted model, not a curated record. Lineage: Eukaryota; Metazoa; Chordata; Aves; Passeriformes; Pipridae. The transcript has 3 exons.
GAAGCCCCAUUUUGCUCACUCCUUGCUGCAGUGCAGUGAUGAAGCUUUCAGGCUGUUUUGUUAUUCUCCUAAUGAACGGCAAUCCUGAUCCUUCACCAGAGGAUCUGCUGCUAUUCUGCAGGCUAAAAGUGCUCCGGACCGCCUCACCAUGGGCACAGUGUCUGCACCGUAAAGCGACCCCAGUCUCUCCCUUCCCGUGGCUCAUCAGAAAAAAAAAAAAAAUUAGUUUUCAAAAGGAGCGGUAACCUUUCUUCCUAGUAUCCUUCUCAGACAGAGGCAAGUAAGAAUGAGGAGGCGUGUGAGUUCUACAUGUCGGUGUCCCUGGACCUACAUCUCAGCCAACCCCUGUCCUGAGGGACCUGGGCAUGGAUCCCAAGCUUGUCAGAGAAUCACACCAGGCUCUCUCCUAUCUGACAUCCUGGUUCUUCUAGACACCAUCUUGCACUGGUAGGGCAUGGCUGGAUGUCAUGGAGCAGGCCUUCAAAGAAACUGGGAUGACUGAAGGAUGGAAAAAAUUACAAAUUCAUCAUGAAGGUGGGAGAUUACUGCAAAUAACAGUCCAAGAAGGGUCUGAGAAGGAUUUAAAAGUGGCAGAUGCAAAGGAUAAAGGAUAUUGCUAAAGAAAUCAGUCACAUUCUACACUUGGAGUGUCCAGGGUGACUCUUGUGUGUCUGGCUUAGGUGACAGAAGGACAGAAGCCUUAUCAGCAAGGCUUAGUAACACAAGUAAUGGGGAAGAUUUUGGCAUGGAGCCUGAUGAAUGUAAACCAACCUUAAAGAGGUGUUGGGGGACAAAGACACAAGAAUGAAGAUUCUGGAGAGGUCUAGGAUGGGGAAAGAUAUCUCAGAGUUCCUGCAGUGUACAGAUGAAGGUCCCCUGCAGGAUAAGUUAAAAGGGAAAAAUAGGGCUGAAUUACGGUAUGAGCUAUAAGGGCUCCAGCAGAGAGAGGCUCUCAGGAAAUGAAUGAACCUGUGGUAUCUGCAAGAUUUCAAGGAGAGGAAUCUUGGGACUUGGGAAACAGCCAGUGGAGGGUGAAAGCCAGAUAGAGACGCUCCAAGAGCAAGUCUAAGGCUCUUCAGAGGUUAAUACGGCUUAUCCAAGUAGUUUAGGGAUAUGGGGAGUUGUGAAGGUAAUUGAAGAGACUUACUCAAAAGUAACUUUUAAAUAUGUACAAUGACUUGCUUGGUAUGCAGAGAGAAACUCAUCCCUAGUGUAAAUCUAAUGAAAU